GGAGUUUGGUCCGUUUCUCAAUUCCAAUGUGGCUGAUUGUCCUCUCAAACCAGCUAGAGAUCAUCGGUUUGGUGAGCCAUUACCUCCCCAACUGCCUAAUCCCAUCUGGGCGCAUCUGCUCGCGUGCGGCCUUGCGGUCCCGCACUUUCCCCUCUCGGGCUUACGCGGUAUUAUCGGAACUUUCGCUCCGCUAUCCCCCUCAAGCAGGCAGCUUCCCAGACAUUACUCACCCGUCCGCCACUCGUCAGCAGAGAAGCAAGCUUCCCUCUGUUACCGUACGACUUGCAUGUGUUAAGCCUGCCGCCAGCGUUCAAU
RNAcentral lists this ribosomal RNA (315 nucleotides) under uncultured Succinivibrionaceae bacterium. RNAcentral describes it as "partial 16S ribosomal RNA". Lineage: Bacteria; Pseudomonadati; Pseudomonadota; Gammaproteobacteria; Aeromonadales; Succinivibrionaceae. The record is from RNAcentral.